CCUACGGGGGGCAGCAGUGGGGAAUAUUGCGCAAUGGGGGAAACCCUGACGCAGCAACGCCGCGUGAGUGAGGAAGGACUUCGGUCUGUAAAGCUCUGUUAAUGUGGAAAAAUGGUAGUUGGUCUAAUAGGCCGAUUAUUUGAUGGUACACAUAGAGGAAGCACCGGCUAACUUCGUGCCAGCAGCCGCGGUAAUACGAAGGGUGCAAGCGUUGUUCGGAUUUAUUGGGCGUAAAGCGCGCGUAGGCGGACCUGUAAGUCAGAUGUGAAAUCUCGGGGCUCAACCUCGAAACUGCGUCUGAAACUGCAGGUCUAGAAUCUUGGAGGGGGAAGGGGAAUUUCGCAUGUAGGGGUAAAAUCCGUAGAUAUGCGAAGGAACACCAGAGGCGAAGGCGCCUUCCUGGACAAGUAUUGACGCUGAGGCGCGAAAGCGUGGGGAUCAAACAGGAUUAGAUACCCGAGUAGUC
This 466-nucleotide ribosomal RNA is filed under the name uncultured bacterium. Its description in RNAcentral is "bacterial SSU rRNA". It matches the Rfam family "Bacterial small subunit ribosomal RNA", at positions 338 to 795 of the family's 1533-position model. The record is from RNAcentral.